ACGGAGGGUGCAAGCGUUAUUCGGAAUUACUGGGCGUAAAGCGCGUGUAGGCGGUCCUGCAAGUCUGAUGUGAAAUCCCCGGGCUUAACCCGGGAAGUGCAUUUGAAACUGAGAGCCUUGAGUAUUGUUGAGGAAGGCGGAAUUCGUGAUGUAGCGGUGAAAUGCGUAGAGAUCGCGCAGAACACCAGUGGCGUAGGCAGCCUUCUGAGCCGUCACUGACGCUGAGGCGCGAAAGCGUGGGGAUCGAACAG
This 251-nucleotide ribosomal RNA is filed under the name uncultured prokaryote. Its description in RNAcentral is "partial 16S rRNA". It matches the Rfam family "Bacterial small subunit ribosomal RNA", at positions 525 to 775 of the family's 1533-position model. The record is from RNAcentral.